UGGGGAAUUUUGGACAAUGGGGGAAACCCUGAUCCAGCCAUCCCGCGUGUGCGAUGAAGGCCUUCGGGUUGUAAAGCACUUUUGGCAGGAAAGAAACGUCGCGGGUUAAUACCCCGCGAAACUGACGGUACCUGCAGAAUAAGCACCGGCUAACUACGUGCCAGCAGCCGCGGUAAUACGUAGGGUGCAAGCGUUAAUCGGAAUUACUGGGCGUAAAGCGUGCGCAGGCGGUUCGGAAAGAAAGAUGUGAAAUCCCAGAGCUUAACUUUGGAACUGCAUUUUUAACUACCGGGCUAGAGUGUGUCAGAGGGAGGUGGAAUUCCGCGUGUAGCAGUGAAAUGCGUAGAUAUGCGGAGGAACACCGAUGGCGAAGGCAGCCCCCUGGGAUACACUGACGCUCAUGCACGAAAGCGUGGGGAGCAAACAGGAUUAGAUACCCUGGUAGUCCACGCCCUAAACGAUGUCAACUAGCUGUUGGGGCCUUCGGGCCUUGGUAGCGCAGCUAACGCGUGAAGUUGACCGCCUGGGGAGUACGGUCGCAAGAUUAAAA
This 550-nucleotide ribosomal RNA is filed under the name uncultured bacterium. Its description in RNAcentral is "partial 16S ribosomal RNA". It matches the Rfam family "Bacterial small subunit ribosomal RNA", at positions 355 to 899 of the family's 1533-position model. The record is from RNAcentral.